UUCCUCGUUUGCACCACAAUUUAGUCAAAGGCUAUGUGCAAAACCAUAUCCUCUAAAGGUAAACACAGAGAACUGGAAAUUCCAGUCAUCAACCAUAUGGUCCGACGUAUCGGUGGGUCCCACUUUCACUAACCAAGAAGUAAAUUAAACCAUUGCUUACACAAGCAACUCCAAACAACUAUUGGCCAACACGGUAAUUAUUUUCUCCCGUCGUCCACCCGUGUACUCUUACCCAAAAGUUGGGAGCCAGAGAUCAUACUUUCCCCCCAAUGGUUUGUUUUUAAUCCUGCCACUCUCCUUCCUUCCCACGAAAUGGCGCGACGACGCACCUAGCUACGGUUGGGAGUCCACCCCUGCAGGUCAUGAGAAUAAUCUUGAACAAAUCUCGAGCAAAUCUCUUGAUUAAUCCAUCGUUAGAUCAUUUUCAUAAUCCCCUCUUGUCUAAUCAUAAUGCUUGAACACUACUAGUACUUUGCAUCCGAUGGCCCCAUGUGAGUUGGGCCCAAGUCAUAAUCCAC
RNAcentral lists this long non-coding RNA (518 nucleotides) under Setaria viridis. RNAcentral's name for it is "long non-coding RNA (SVIR_LNC010142)". Lineage: Eukaryota; Viridiplantae; Streptophyta; Magnoliopsida; Poales; Poaceae. The record is from RNAcentral.